UGAUUGAUGAUGACUCCCUCAUAUGCAUUCCUUGGAAAAUCUGAACAAAAUGACAGAGAACUCACUACAAUUAAGAAAAAAAACA
This is a small nucleolar RNA of Ailuropoda melanoleuca (giant panda), 85 nucleotides long. Its record names the gene SNORD116. It matches the Rfam family "Small nucleolar RNA SNORD116". From Rfam's summary of the family: HBII-85 is a member of the C/D class of snoRNAs, which contain the C (UGAUGA) and D (CUGA) box motifs. HBII-85 is encoded in a tandemly repeated array with another C/D snoRNA, HBII-52, in the Prader-Willi syndrome (PWS) region of chromosome 15. Unlike most other snoRNAs, HBII-85 is expressed prevalently in the brain (but is absent in PWS patients) and lacks any significant complementarity with ribosomal RNA. The record is from Ensembl. Lineage: Eukaryota; Metazoa; Chordata; Mammalia; Carnivora; Ursidae.